Long non-coding RNA from Mastomys coucha (southern multimammate mouse), 391 nucleotides. RefSeq lists it as uncharacterized. The record is from RefSeq and is a predicted model, not a curated record. Lineage: Eukaryota; Metazoa; Chordata; Mammalia; Rodentia; Muridae. The transcript is spliced from 2 exons.
CCAUGAGUCAAACAUUCCAUGAGCUUCAAGACUGAAGGAAAAGGAAAAAGCCAGCUGGGGAGAGCUUGUUUCUUCCUACUUCUUAGCCUGACCAGAUGUGAGCAAACAGCUUCAUGUGACCACAGCUGGAAGCUUCCUUUCCAUGAUGGACACUGUUCCCUGAACCAGAGGCCAAAAUAAAACCUCCUUCCUUAACCUGCUUCCUGCCAGGAUGAUAUCUACAACUUUUCAUAAAGAUUCCAGCUGAGAUCACACCAGAGCUUUGUAAUCUAACUACGAUACAAGAUAAUCAAGUAAGAACAAAAAGAAAAAUCUAAGAGGCCUUCAAAAUUGAAAAUCCACAGCAUAAGCCUAAGCAAUUUGGAUAAUAAAAUCUUCCAGUUAAAUUUCA